CUGGACCCCUGUCGCAGAUUGGGCUCCUGCACCCACCCGAUUAGCGCGCCGUACAUAGGUCAGCUGUAAUCUAAUGGCUAUGAGCAUUGUAAUCCAUCUUCGACCACAACGUUUGAAUGUUCAGAGGGAAAAUAAAACUAUUAAAAAUAGAGACUGAUGUGUGUUCAGUUAUUUUAUUAAACAGUCUGCUGAAAUUUUUAGGCAGUCUUGGCAGCCCGGGUACGUUUUUUCUUCACCACAACGGGUUUCUGGCUCCUCAAGAUAGCACUUGCACGACGAAGAGCAGCCUAAGAAAAAUCACAGAGGAGACAACUGAAUAGAUCUGUAAAUCGUAUUACAUAAACAUUAAAAACACAGAAUGUGCAACAACCCCCCCCCAAAAAAAAACACCAUCAUUGGCAAGAUAUAUGCAUGAAGUAGAGACUUGCGUUUUACAUGGUUGUGCACAGGGGAUAUAUAGAUGAGAAAUGCACAAUAUAGAAAUGUACAAUAUUUAAACAAUGCAUAAAGCUGCUGGAUGGACAGUAAAGGCCGUAUCAGAUGCUCUCAUGUUCAGGCAGGACGAGUGCCGAUGGACAGUAAACACGAUCGGCGCUCGUUAGCAUUGGCCUACUACAAAGGCCGAUUAAAAGUGGAUGGGAGUCUAAGGAAUGUGCUACCAAAUUUGUUAGUCCCCCAUUCAGUCCUAGGGAUUAUCAGCAGCACAUCCCUGAUUACACAGGACUAAGUACUGACGGUAAUCAUUCUGAUGAAAGAUGCAAAUCAGAAACGUUUGCUCGUUUAUCGGAGGCGCAAUUACAUGGGCCAAUCAUCAACUAGUGUAUAUCGUCCAGUCUAAUAGAGGCUUAACUAAUACAAAUCUAAAACAUAAUAGCAGGUACUGUGAUC
Long non-coding RNA from Bufo bufo (common toad), 888 nucleotides. RefSeq lists it as uncharacterized. The record is from RefSeq and is a predicted model, not a curated record. The transcript has 3 exons. NCBI's taxonomy places the organism in Eukaryota, Metazoa, Chordata, Amphibia, Anura, Bufonidae.